CAAUAUUUACAUUGGAAGAGGUAUGUUUAGAGUCUUGCUACGUUACCUGUGUAUAUAUGCCUAUCCUUUCCUGCAUUCACGUGAAUUGUGGUUCAAUUGAAACAAGCCAUUUUGGUUUAUGUUGUUGUCUUAGUUGCUGGAAUUAAUGAGACCAUAUAUAAUAUUGAUUCCUUAACGCUUUGACUGACUAAUAAAAGUUGAUUGUGGCAAAGGCUUUUUCUUUAUUAAUAAGAAUCUGAUGCAAUUAUUAAUUGUAGACAAUGAAAGAUAAUUAUAAUCCUGAAUUGUUAUGGUUACUAUGUCUAUGUUUGUGUUGCCAGUGUGAUAUCAGCUUCCUAGACGUUACAAGUUUACAAUUAUAAGCAGUGCUGCCAUUAAAGGUGUGAUUACCUUUGUAUAGUAUCUGGAUUUGAAGAAUUAAUGAUCUUUAAAGGUCGUGGCUUAGGCUCUGCAUUUGGGAAAACAUGGCCAAUGUAUCUCGGUUAUUUUCUGUUCUUUUCAUGCAGCAUCUAUAAUAUUUGUUGCUGUCGGACCCUGAUCUUAGUAACCAGUUAUGAGACAUGUCAAAAUUGUUAACAUCAUACUUGAAAUUGGUUUUGCAAAAAAAGAAAAGAAAAGAAAAAACUCUGUUGCAAAUGAUAGAAGAAUUAAUAGUGAGUACUAAUUAAAGGGUGUGGCUUAUCUCUAUGUUCCAUUGAUCUUUAGCCUUCGGCCUUGCAAUUUGGAAAAGGUGGAAUGGUUAUUUUAGAUGUGUGAUGUCCUGAUAGUCCAGGAGGCAGUGUUGAAACUGAAGGAGCAUUACAUUAAUCAUCAAAAACACUUGGUUUCUGUGGCAAAAUAUAGCACAUGACCAAAGAGUGUUACACCUUGAAUGAUAAGAAUUGCCCUUACUGCCAUGGCCAGAUUUGGAAAUGGCAGAAACGAAGUUCCCAUUUUAUAGUGACUACUGAUCAAUAGUUUCAUAUAUAAUAUGAUACUUGAGACAAAUGAAGUGCUACAUACCCAUGUCACUUUUCAUUUUUUGUCUAAUAAUUGGGAUGGCUAUGGCAAUUACAAUGGUGCCAGAGUGAAAAGGGCGAAGAUUGGCCCAAGAUAUGAUAUGCCAAAUCAAAAUCAUUCAAUUCCCUCUCAGGUAAUUUUCUGCAAAAUCUAGUGCCCUGUUGUCAUUGUUAAUCAAAUAUUGAUUAUGUAUGUGCUUGUACUGGAGGUAAGCAUGGUCCCAUGGCUGACCAACAGGGGAACAUUUUUGAUUUUAGAGUGCCAUUGCUUAUGUCGUUUUGAAUUAGUGUCUUGUAACUUGGCCAGCAUGCUCUGUUUCUUUUCCAAAUGUAGUGAAUUUCUAUGCCAGUGCUUUGCUAAUGUUUGGCUGAAGAUAAACAAUGGAGGUACUAGCAUUGAAUUUCUACUUUCCACUUUUAUGUGCCAACUUCUGGAUCCUCUUUUGAUCAAAGGCUCAAAGCAUCUCUGGUUGUUAUGCAAUACUGCCAGCCUGCAACUGAAGGUAUUUCCAUUUUGAAGUCAUUUUGCAUAUAAUCUGAAAGUGAAGAAUGACCUUAAGGGCCAACUUGUCUACUGUCUCAGGAGCAAUAAAGUAAUUGGCAAUAACUUCAGAGUUAUGUGGGGGAAAAACAUAUGGCAUAUGGCUAACAGUAUUGCAUCUUCAUAUGGUCCCGUGAGAUUCUUAAUUUCCAGUUUCCAGGUCAUCAGUUGCAUAUAUUUACUUCUAAUUAUGGAUGUAGGUUGUGGAGAGCACCUGUGGAUUCACUUACUCUUACAAUAGUAGACAUGCUCAGUGAAUAAGUUAAAGUAAAUCAAAGCAGGUCCUGAGCCUUUGUUCUCUGUUAAUUAUAUGCAGCAUCUCAGCAAGGAAAAUUUCUAUUCUAGGUCAACUUUAGGCUGUUGUUGAUGCUGCUUCUGCUAGCAUCCUCAUUAUCACCACAAAGUGUUCUUCAAGACUUGGUUGGUUUCAACAUGUCACUAAAUGUUGUUAGAAAACUAGUUCUGUUGAUGUAAUGACUUUAUUGGAUAUAUGGAUGAA
Molecule: long non-coding RNA, 2038 nt
Organism: Rosa rugosa (rugosa rose)
Lineage: Eukaryota; Viridiplantae; Streptophyta; Magnoliopsida; Rosales; Rosaceae
Exons: 3
Source: RefSeq, a predicted model, not a curated record